This 114-nucleotide microRNA precursor is filed under the name Bigelowiella natans CCMP2755. RNAcentral's name for it is "miRNA EPrBNAG00000013690". The record is from RNAcentral. Lineage: Eukaryota; Cercozoa; Chlorarachniophyceae.
UGAUGAUGAUGAUGAUGAUGAUGAUGAGGAUGAUGGAGAACAUGUAAAGAGAAACAAAAUAACCGUGGCUAUAAAAAUAACAAUCCAUCCUCCUCGUCAUCAUCAUCAUCAUCA